RNAcentral lists this small nucleolar RNA (98 nucleotides) under Erinaceus europaeus (western European hedgehog). Its description in RNAcentral is "Small nucleolar RNA U3". The stretch from base 1 to 41 matches the Rfam family "Small nucleolar RNA U3", at positions 1 to 41 of the family's 219-position model. Lineage: Eukaryota; Metazoa; Chordata; Mammalia; Eulipotyphla; Erinaceidae. The record is from Rfam by way of RNAcentral.
AAGACUAUACUUUCAGGGAUCAUUUCUAUAGUAUGUUACUUUAAAGUAGACCCUUGAGUUCUAGUGUAACUGAGAAAAUACAUCACAUAGGCUCCAGU